UCUAGGUUCUUGCCUUCUUCGCAUAUAGAUAGGGACUUACCAGGAAAUCAAAGCCAAGAAUUGCCAGAUGAAUUUAAUGUUAAACACAGAGAAGGUCGAUUUGUUUUUGUAAAAGGCCUGCUAAGAUCCUCUUCCUUUAUUUUCUUUCCGGUCUUACCUGUGUGCUUGGUAUAAAGAAAUACACAGGUUUCACUUAUCAGCAGCCAAAAAUAUAGGUUCAAAAGCUUAUUAUUUACCUUGCUUUGGUUUUGCCUCCGCAUACAUAUAAAAAAUAACAGUUUUUAGUCAUAUUCACGUCUGUUUUUGCCUAAGCAAAAAGAAAACAUAAUCAGUUUAUAUCCCACUCUGGCUAUCAAUUUUCCUAUGUUUUCAGCCACAAGUUCCUUGCUGCCCUAUCAUCUUCAUCUUGUUAUUUGGUUGCUGCUACGCAAACUGUGGUGAUUUACUGCCUUCUGAUCUUCUCACUACUCAAUCAAGGUCCUUUCUGAAAAGCUUCAGGGCGGUAUGAGCGCUAAAAAGCUCCACCUUGUUGUUGACGCUGUUGGACUUGGUAAGCUUGAUGAAGCCGAGGUCCAUAAGAAAUAUAUUAUGCCGUCAUCCUAUACCGGUGGGCUUUGCUGUAUAAUUGAAAACUUUCACGCCGCGAUGACUAUUUCCUGAGCCCAAGCCUCGCCUGAUAUAAUCACAACCUUCAUGUGUAAUCCAAAGUGGCCUGAAAUAAUGGAGAGUCUUGAACCUGGGCAAAAAAUAGUCGAUAGGGCUGAUAUUACCGUUCGAGUAUAUCGCAUGAAACUGCUUGAGUACCUACAGAAGAUCGGGACCAGAAAGAUGACCAUGCCCAGUGCAUUUUCUCUCCUUUCUUUGUUUUUCUUACCCAUGUUUCUUAUUUUUCAUGUUUUUUCGUUUACCCUCCUGUUUUCCAGUUCUCUACACCAUAGAGUUUGAAAAGAUGGGUCUUCCACACGCACGUGUCCUUGUUUGGCAGGAGAAGGAUAAUGACCGGGUGGUCACACCAACUUUCAUAAAUUCUUUUGUUUCAACUACUGGAUCUGAACUGGCCGGCGUUGCUGCUAUGCACUUACUAACACCAUGGAAACUGGACUUGCUCAACCACCUAGGCUUAAGAGGGGUGCUGCUACUAGUGUAAAAAAAGUUUUAUCGGAAGAACUAAAGUAGUAGCUAAUCCAAGCAUUGAAGAAGUGACACAGAGGUUAUGCUAUAUUGGCAUGAAGUCAGAGCAGCGCUAAAUACCACACAAGAUUUCUGGUGACCUUCAGUUUAUAUGUACUAACCAACAACAGCCACCUCUUGUUUCGUAUCAAUCAAUCCAGUAUCUUUGCCCUUUUGGCGUUGCUCUGAGCAAGAUAUGUAUAGCCUUUAGAUUUCCAUUUGUGUAUGAUAUUGCAUGUACACUUUAGACCUCGUUACUGUCUCCAUGGUCAAAAGAAGCUUGU
Triticum aestivum (bread wheat) is the source of this 1454-nucleotide long non-coding RNA. RefSeq lists it as uncharacterized. The transcript is spliced from 3 exons. Lineage: Eukaryota; Viridiplantae; Streptophyta; Magnoliopsida; Poales; Poaceae. The record is from RefSeq and is a predicted model, not a curated record.